AAACUUAGGCUAACAUCAAACCAAAG
This 26-nucleotide transfer RNA is filed under the name Brotogeris jugularis (cobalt-winged parakeet). Its description in RNAcentral is "partial tRNA-Trp". Lineage: Eukaryota; Metazoa; Chordata; Aves; Psittaciformes; Psittacidae. The record is from RNAcentral.